UUGAGCUUCAGUUGAGCUUCAGUCACGUGUGUAAUACUGUCGAGUCAGGCUCCCAACCGCACUGUAGUCGCAUCCGCAACACCUUACACAGGUCACCAAGCUUGACCCUUUACCCAUUACAGCUUCGUCUAUUCAGCCUCCCUACGUUCAUUUAGCAAUAAAAUUCGCAUACUAACCAUACGCGUUCACCCCGGCUCUCACGCCUCAUUCCAUUCAUCUCCCACAGUCGACAUCCUAGCAUUGGCCUUUCAGCCUCCCCUUGGUUGUAUCGCAACCCUAGCCUUGGCCAUCCCACUCAUCUCAGUCCCAUUCACCAGACCCAUCAUGGGCCCUCCUCCGCUUCGGUCACCUCCACGACCCCCACAUAGACUAUCUGGCUCACUUCGGUCGCAUCCACGACAUCUCAGCACGGGGUGUCCAGCCAUUUCAAAUAGGCAGCAUUUGUGACAUAUCCUCGGAAACUCAAGUUGGCUCUUGUGAGUCAGUCUCAGUCGCAUCCGUGACACUUCAGGCUGUGGCCUGCUGCCAGUUUAAGGCUCAUGCGCAGCAAGUCGGCAAUAUUCCAGUUACCUCUACAUUCACACAAAGGUCAAACAGUUUCCGUCCAUCCGCCAGAGUAACUCACGUCAAGUCCCCACAAACCAGGAGCCCACGACGAACAUAGCGCCAGAGCAGCAGAACGGAGCCCUAAACCCUCACCCAGGCACUGAAACUCAAUCGAGGACCCCAAAGGCUCCGGGCCAUUGGACGGCAUCCUGCCACGCAUAGAAACACUUCCUAAAUGCCUCCCCCAGCCAACCCACCCGCAGUUCCUGGGCGAGUGGCCGGUGGUGUUAGGAGUCCAGAACUCACCUGCAUGGGAAUUGUGGGAAUUAUAGUCGUCAACCAACGCUGCAACAAAGGCGAAAUUUUGGUAACGCUUAUGUAUUGCAGGGGGAAGUCCAGCGGGUAGUGGACGACGUUCGGUAUGAAAUUGCCACUGGCGGCCAGGUAUGAUUCGGAUGUAGCCGAGCUGCGGCUAAGAAAGAAGUGGAUAGCCUGAAUUCCACAAACGGAAGAGGAGGACGAUGCUCUCGGAAAAUAAGUGCCGCUGCUGUCUGCCGGCGCCGUGCAAUUCCAUAUCCAGUGUCUUUGUACAACAUAUUCACCUUCACGCUAUCCAGAUGUGGCCCGUUGGGCUCCUCGCUGCGAAGAUAAUACCUUAAUCCUCCGGUCGUUUCAUGUAGGGAAGCCGCAGUGAACUAACCGGAAUAGUGGCAUCCUCAUAAGGGCCUUCGAGCCUAGCCUCGAUCGCAUGCAUAGCUUCCCCACACGAGCCAUCCAGGCUCACCUCAGUCAAAUUUAUGGCCCCCAGCAUGGUCCUUACCACUCUUCAAUGAGCUCUCCGACCUUCUACAGGACUUCCGCUUCAUCACAGCCAGCACUGUCAACCUGAGGAUAGACCAUCCGGUGCGCUCAGCAACACGCACGAUGUGCAAACAACGGCCCUCGCGCCCUUAGUACAUUCAUCUCUGCAUGGGUCACCCGGCCCCUCUUCAGUCUCAUACGCGAUACCGUAGCAAGGGUCACCAUCAGGGCUCACUUCCGGACCUGGGCCAUCAGGUGCCACUAGCAUCCACUCGGCUACACCCCGAAUCUGGGCCAUCAUGGCCAUCAGGUGUCGCCAGCGGCAACUCUACGACACCCAGAAACAGAGCCAUCAGGCCCCACUACCAUCAAUGCUGCAACACCCGGCCGAGGAGGCUUCGCUAACAUCGACCCACUAAACCCCGAACUUGGGCCAUCAGGCCUCACUAAUGUCGAGUCCGAGAGGCCUCACUAACGUCGCCUCGGUGACACCCCGAAUCUGUGCCCUCAGGCCUCGCAAACAUCGACUCCUCAACACUGUAAAGCUGGCCCUCAGGCCACGCUAAUGUCGAUUCCGCAACACUGUGACCUGGGCCAUCA
Molecule: long non-coding RNA, 1947 nt
Filed under: Volvox carteri
Lineage: Eukaryota; Viridiplantae; Chlorophyta; Chlorophyceae; Chlamydomonadales; Volvocaceae
Description: long non-coding RNA (VCAR_LNC003428)
Source: RNAcentral